CAGGAGAUCAAAUCAAAGACACGCUCUCUGGUCCUGGAUAACUGCAUUGACAGGAUGGUAGAAAAACUGGAUGUGGAAAAGAAAGAGCAUCGCUUGACCCUUAUCAGAGAGCGGAAAGAGAAACAGAAAGUGUUGGUGAAACCAGCCACGGACAAUGACAGCAAUAUCAUUUCUUCCAUCUACUCCAUCUUGUUGAUGAGCAGUUGUGACAGUGAGGACUCUUGAGUACUCUUACUAUAAUGAAAGCUACUACAUUAUCUAAACACUAUUACUGCAGACUCGUUUGCCUGUGUGCUGCCCAGAACCAACCUAAUGGUGUUUGGUUGACUACUGCUGGAUGAGUGAACUGGACAUCUGGAAAGAGAGACUCUGAAGAGGCUGGAGCUGACAACUAGCAGCAUUUGGAAGAAGGACCUUAUUUUUUAAAUGAAUGUACAGAAGCUUGAUCUCUAAAACGAGACUGGGAUUGUGAGAGAGCAAACUGCUGUUAUGCUAGAAGGCUGACAUACAGAACCUAGGCUUCUAUGAUCGCUUGUGACCGGCUUGGUGUAAUCUAAUAGUUUGUAUGCAUCACUGCCCUUUCCUUAGUGAAUGACAUGUUUAAAUGUGUACAUCAGCUUCACUUAUUUCAGGAAGCAGAGGGAGUGGCCCAAGCUAUUUGAGAACUUGGCCAUCCCCACCAGCAGGCAGGAGUGGUAUAUCAUGAAAAAGUGCCAACGGGGGUUUUCCUCUUGAAUUUCAUAUGGCAGCUAGAGUCAUCCCAGGCCUCUGGCAGUAAAGGUAACAAAGGAUGGGUUAUGGAUCCUGUCAGUCUUAAGUGCUUAAAUGCAUUGUAAGCUGAGCUGCUGGCCAUCAGUUUUCUCUGUUGAUGUUACUCAUUUUCUGUUAAGAUAGGGAUGGAAAAGAUGAAAUCUGCCAGAAUUCCUUAGCUAUUGUGCUUUUCCUACAGUAUCUGUGGUUUGUUCCCUCUUCAUGCUUUUGCAUAAAGGGUUUUAGAACUGGGAAGCAAUGCAUCCAGAAGUUGUUAGCAAUGACUUCAGGAACGCAUAUAGUUCUUGUCAGCAGCAGAGAGGAACCUGCCUCUUCAGAAGUG
Molecule: long non-coding RNA, 1093 nt
Filed under: Strix occidentalis caurina (northern spotted owl)
Lineage: Eukaryota; Metazoa; Chordata; Aves; Strigiformes; Strigidae
Description: lncRNA (ENSSOCG00000008406.1)
Source: RNAcentral